This 345-nucleotide long non-coding RNA is filed under the name Sus scrofa (pig). RNAcentral describes it as "lncRNA (ENSSSCG00030019851.1, ENSSSCG00035009778.1, ENSSSCG00060059914.1, ENSSSCG00065054997.1)". The record is from RNAcentral. Lineage: Eukaryota; Metazoa; Chordata; Mammalia; Artiodactyla; Suidae.
GGCCGGCACGAGGCGGCCCUGGCGGCGGGACAGAAAAAUACCGACGGGUCGCCUAGCAGAUUGGGCAUCGGUGUAACAGUUUUUUUUUUAAAUUAGUCCUCAUCGACCAAGUCUGUCAAAAACAGAGAAGCUGUGGGUUUAUUUGAACAUUUUUAAGGCGCUCAAAGACUUUGUUUAUUUAAAGCACUUUGAGAUAUGCCAGAUUUAAGUAAAUGGAAACUUUAGCCGCCUCAGGAGCACUGAGCAAGAUUUGAGGUAAGCCAUUGUAACGUGUUGUCCGACUCUCCAGCCUGCUGGUAGAAUAUUCAAAGCAAAAACCCAACUGAAGUAAGCUACUCGCAUUGC